Molecule: ribosomal RNA, 478 nt
Filed under: Vairimorpha ceranae
Lineage: Eukaryota; Fungi; Microsporidia; Nosematidae
Description: SSU rRNA
Rfam family: Microsporidia small subunit ribosomal RNA
Source: RNAcentral
GUAUAUGAGGUGAUUAAUUGGAGGGCAAAUCGAGUGCCAGCAGCCGCGGUAAUACUUGUUCCAAGAGUGUGUAUGAUGAUUGAUGCAGUUAAAAAGUCCGUAGUUUAUUAUUAAGAAGCAAUAUGAGGUGUACUGUAUAGUUGGGAAAGAGAUGAAUUGUGACGACCCUGACUGGACGAACUGAAGCGAAAGCUGUACACUUGUAUGUAUUUUUUGAACAAGGACGUAAGCUGGAGGAUCGAAGAUGAUUAGAUACCAUUGCAGUUCCAGCAGUAAACUAUGCCGACGAUGUGAUAUGAGAUGUUGUAUUACAUUAUAGAAAUUAGAGUUUUUGGCUCUGGGGAUAGUAUGAUCGCAAGAUUGAAAAUUAAAGAAAUUGACGGAAGAAUACCACAAGGAGUGGAUUGUGCGGCUUAAUUUGACUCAACGCGAGGUAACUUACCAAUAUUUUAUUGUUCGGCGAGGAUAUGAUCUGAGG